This 291-nucleotide long non-coding RNA is filed under the name Mytilus galloprovincialis (Mediterranean mussel). Lineage: Eukaryota; Metazoa; Mollusca; Bivalvia; Mytilida; Mytilidae. The record is from RNAcentral.
GGCUUGCAAUACAUUUAUUUGUGGUUAUUGGCUUUGAACUAGAGUUCAGCAACUUUCGAUGCUUUAUAUCUAUUUGUUUAUGUUUUAAGCCUUGUGUCAAUCUUUCGGGUUAUUAGAUAUAGGAAGAUGUGAUAUAUGUGCCAAUGAGACAAUUACAACUGAUUUUUGCAGUUUGUUCUUAUGUUGAGCGGUUAUAACAGUCCCAGAUUAAGAGAGGGAUGAGCACUCACAAAUAUUUUUAACCCCGUCAACAUCUUUAUGUGCUUGUCCGAAGUCAGGAGCUUGUCGGUA